AAAUGUUGCAGCUCUUUUAGAAUUUGUCUAUCAGGUUUUCCAGCAGAAUCUUC
Molecule: small nuclear RNA, 53 nt
Filed under: Carlito syrichta (Philippine tarsier)
Lineage: Eukaryota; Metazoa; Chordata; Mammalia; Primates; Tarsiidae
Description: U7 small nuclear RNA (ENSTSYG00000025189.2)
Rfam family: U7 small nuclear RNA
About the family: Animal histone pre-mRNAs are spliced by a different mechanism than nuclear pre-mRNAs and self-splicing introns. This processing involves the U7 snRNP, which contains only one RNA species: U7.
Source: Rfam by way of RNAcentral